RNAcentral lists this ribosomal RNA (253 nucleotides) under uncultured bacterium. Its description in RNAcentral is "partial 16S ribosomal RNA". It matches the Rfam family "Bacterial small subunit ribosomal RNA", at positions 524 to 776 of the family's 1533-position model. The record is from RNAcentral.
UACAGAGGGUGCGAGCGUUAUCCGGAUUCAUUGGGCGUAAAGCGUUUGUAGGCGGUGGAAAAAGUCGAAGGUAAAAGGUGUCGGCCCAACCGGCAUUAUGUCUUUGAAACUUUUCCGCUAGGAGAAGGUAAAGGCAAGUGGAAUUCCAUGUGUAGGGGUGAAAUCCGUAGAUACAUGGAGGAACACCAAAAGCGAAGGCAGCUUGCUGGACCUUUCUUGACGCUGAGAAACGAAAGCGUGGGGAGCAAACAGG